CAAGGAACGCUGGUCCAACCAGCAUCCUCCAACCCAAUGCGUACCGACCUUGUUGCCUCGGCGUGCCAGCGCCGUCGAUGGUGCUGCCGGCCCCGGCUGGAUAGCGCACGCCAGAGGAACCGCAAACUCCAGCUUUAACAAGUGCGGUCUGAGCUUGAACCUAAUGCGUUUA
RNAcentral lists this unclassified non-coding RNA (172 nucleotides) under uncultured Ascomycota. RNAcentral describes it as "sequence contains ITS1". Lineage: Eukaryota; Fungi; Ascomycota. The record is from RNAcentral.